Molecule: long non-coding RNA, 284 nt
Organism: Sciurus carolinensis (gray squirrel)
Lineage: Eukaryota; Metazoa; Chordata; Mammalia; Rodentia; Sciuridae
Exons: 3
Source: RefSeq, a predicted model, not a curated record
GGGAUGAGCAGUGAGAACAUCUCCAUUUGCUGUCAUCUCCUCUGCACUCUCCUCCUCAGGGUGGACGUGGCCUGUGGACAGAGGGUCCUCCACGGUCCCUGCUGGGAAGGAGCUGCAGCCCAGUGAUGCACGUGGCCUGUGGACAGACCUCUGCUCCUUGGUCAGGUGACGUUUCCUCCUGCUGAGAAGGAGAGGCAGACUAGGGAUGGACGUGGCCUGUGGACAGGAGGACGGCCCUAUGGUCAGGUGCCAUUAGCAGCCUGUGGGAAGGAGCUGCAGCCCAG